UCUCAUGAAAAAUCAGAAAGUAUAUCGAAGAAAAUGACAGCCCGCGCCUGACGGCCCUCGCGGCCAAUGAGCGCGCAGGUCGCGGGCAGGCCCGCCUCCGACUGACGGCACUCGUGGCCAAUAAGCAAGGCGGCGCCGCGGAGCAGGCAGCCAUUGGGCGAGCGCGCAGAACCAGUGAGUCCGGCGGCGGCUUAGUAGCUGCAGGCGCCGCCGCCGCCACAUUCAAGAGUCGGGAGCCUCGCGAGCGCCGUAGGCAGAGGCAGCUCCCGCGGCUCCGUCCAUGCUCCGGGCCGCCGUCCCGUCCGCGCAGCGGGCCCCGCGGAGACCACGUGAGGGUGGACCCGCGCUGUGCUCGGCUGCGCCUUCCUCCCGGCGGACCUGCGGCGGAGCGUCCCGAGCGGGCCCCGCUUCAGGGGUGAAGGCGACAGCGACGGCUCUGCGGGCCGGAAGGUCAAUCCCUAACAUCCCAUCCAAUCAGAGCGAGUCUGCAUGCAGCAAGCCGGUCUCUGCCUCUGGGCCUCUCUGCCUGCACAGCCGUCCUGCAGACAUCCUCUAGGCCUCUGACCUCAGCGCUGCCACCACUCCAGCCUCUGCUCUGCUCUCCUGCAGCCUCGCGGCCGUGUCACCGUGUCACCCAGAGCACUGGGUGGAGCUCUUUCUAUAGAGUCAGUAGCAACCUAUUGCCCACAUGUGUAGUGAGCUAGCCGACUAGGCCCAGGUGAGAAUCCUGGCCCCAGGAAUUUUCAUUUUAUCCACACAUAACAUACUCUUCAGCGAACAUACAAUAACUCAGCCCACCUUGGAGGCAGGGAAGGCAGUCUUAAUUGAUAUGCUCCCAAACCAGGAAGCUGCUAUUCUGGAGGGAAUCCGAGCAGUGCAUUUCUUGUGUUAAGCUAAUUUUGCAGAAUUACCGGGAGGACUGAUAAGAAACGUCAUGUCUCAUCUUGAGACCACUUCACAGGUCCACACCCCUAGCCCUUUGUCACAUUCCUGAAAAAUCCUUCAUGCGCCUUUCAAAAAAACCUUUCAAUGCGCCUUUCUCUCUGAGGUUGCCCACACUCCCCUCUCUCUGAGUGUGCACUUUCUCUCCGUAAAUAAAACUUUAACUCGACUUCA
Long non-coding RNA from Manis pentadactyla (Chinese pangolin), 1116 nucleotides. RefSeq lists it as uncharacterized. The transcript is spliced from 2 exons. NCBI's taxonomy places the organism in Eukaryota, Metazoa, Chordata, Mammalia, Pholidota, Manidae. The record is from RefSeq and is a predicted model, not a curated record.